RNAcentral lists this ribosomal RNA (255 nucleotides) under uncultured Basidiomycota. RNAcentral's name for it is "partial 18S ribosomal RNA". It matches the Rfam family "Eukaryotic small subunit ribosomal RNA", at positions 624 to 886 of the family's 1831-position model. The record is from RNAcentral. Lineage: Eukaryota; Fungi; Basidiomycota.
AAGCUCGUAGUUGAAUUUCGAAUGUGGCUGGGCGGUCCGCCUCACGGUGUGUACUGUCUGGCUGUGUUCUCUUUCUUGGUGAGCCGGCAUGCCCUUUACUGGGUGUGUUGGGGAACCAGGACGUUUACCUUGAGAAAAUUAGAGUGUUCAAAGCAGGCCACGCCCGAAUACAUUAGCAUGGCAUAAUAAAAUAGGACGUGCGGUUCUAUUUUGUUGGUUUCUAGAGCCGCAGUAAUGAUUAUAGGGAUAGUUGGG